CCUACGGUAUGCAGCAGUGAGGAAUAUUGGUCAAUGGGCGCAAGCCUGAACCAUCCAAGUCGCGUGAGGGAUGACGGUACUAUGGAUUGUAAACCUCUUUUGUCGGGGAGCAAGGCCCGCCACGUGUGGCGGGGAGGAGAGUACCGGAAGAAAAAGCAUCGGCUAACUCCGGGCCAGCAGCCGCGGUAAUACGGAGGAUGCGAGCGUUCUCCGGUUUGAUUGGGUGUAAAGGGUGCGUAGGCGGAAUGUUAAGUAAGCGGUCAAAUGUCGGUGCGCAACACCGGCCUGCCGUUGAAACUGGUCUUCUUGAGUGAGCGAGAAGUAUGCGGAAUGCGUGGUGUAGCGGUGAAAUGCAUAGAUAUCACGCAGAACUCCGAUUGCGAAGGCAGCAUACCGGCGCUCAACUGACGCUGAGGCACGAAAGCGUGGGGAUCGAACAGGAUUAGAUACCCGAGUAGUC
This 460-nucleotide ribosomal RNA is filed under the name uncultured bacterium. Its description in RNAcentral is "partial 16S ribosomal RNA". It matches the Rfam family "Bacterial small subunit ribosomal RNA", at positions 338 to 795 of the family's 1533-position model. The record is from RNAcentral.